AGUGAACGCUGGCGGUAGGCCUAACACAUGCAAGUCGAACGGCAGCACAGUAAGAGCUUGCUCUUACGGGUGGCGAGUGGCGGGCGGGUGAGGAAUACAUCGGAAUCUACUUUUUCGUGGGGGAUAACGUAGGGAAACUUACGCUAAUACCGCAUACGACCUACGGGUGAAAGCAGGGGAUCUUCGGACCUUGCGCGAUUGAAUGAGCCGAUGUCGGAUUAGCUAGUUGGCGGGGUAAAGGCCCACCAAGGCGACGAUCCGUAGCUGGUCUGAGAGGAUGAUCAGCCACACUGGAACUGAGACACGGUCCAGACUCCUACGGGAGGCAGCAGUGGGGAAUAUUGGACAAUGGGCGCAAGCCUGAUCCAGCCAUACUGCGUGGGUGAAGAAGGCCUUCGGGUUGUAAAGCCCUUUUGUUGGGAAAGAAAAGCAGCAGGUUAAUACCCCGCUGUUCUGACGGUACCCAAAGAAUAAGCACCGGCUAACUUCGUG
Molecule: ribosomal RNA, 492 nt
Filed under: uncultured bacterium
Lineage: Bacteria
Description: partial 16S ribosomal RNA
Rfam family: Bacterial small subunit ribosomal RNA
Source: RNAcentral